Molecule: ribosomal RNA, 819 nt
Filed under: Salmonella enterica
Lineage: Bacteria; Pseudomonadati; Pseudomonadota; Gammaproteobacteria; Enterobacterales; Enterobacteriaceae
Also listed under: 1 other name
Description: partial 23S ribosomal RNA
Rfam family: Bacterial large subunit ribosomal RNA
Source: RNAcentral
AGACCCGAAACCCGGUGAUCUAGCCAUGGGCAGGUUGAAGGUUGGGUAACACUAACUGGAGGACCGAACCGACUAAUGUUGAAAAAUUAGCGGAUGACCUGUGGCUGGGGGUGAAAGGCCAAUCAAACCGGGAGAUAGCUGGUUCUCCCCGAAAGCUAUUUAGGUAGCGCCUCGUGAAUUCAUCUCCGGGGGUAGAGCACUGUUUCGGCUAGGGGGCCAUCCCGGCUUACCAACCCGAUGCAAACUGCGAAUACCGGAGAAUGUUAUCACGGGAGACACACGGCGGGUGCUAACGUCCGUCGUGAAGAGGGAAACAACCCAGACCGCCAGCUAAGGUCCCAAAGUCAUGGUUAAGUGGGAAACGAUGUGGGAAGGCCCAGACAGCCAGGAUGUUGGCUUAGAAGCAGCCAUCAUUUAAAGAAAGCGUAAUAGCUCACUGGUCGAGUCGGCCUGCGCGGAAGAUGUAACGGGGCUAAACCAUGCACCGAAGCUGCGGCAGCGAACGUAUCACCCAAGACAACUUUACGGAGUUGACGAUUGACGGAGCGAAGCGACGUCAAAGCGUUCAUUAAAGUCGAGUUGGCUUAGGGAUACGUUCGUUGGGUAGGGGAGCGUUCUGUAAGCCUGUGAAGGUGUGUCGUGAGGCAUGCUGGAGGUAUCAGAAGUGCGAAUGCUGACAUAAGUAACGAUAAAGCGGGUGAAAAGCCCGCUCGCCGGAAGACCAAGGGUUCCUGUCCAACGUUAAUCGGGGCAGGGUGAGUCGACCCCUAAGGCGAGGCCGAAAGGCGUAGUCGAUGGGAAACGGGUUAAUAUUCCCGU